Molecule: ribosomal RNA, 229 nt
Filed under: uncultured bacterium
Lineage: Bacteria
Description: partial 16S ribosomal RNA
Rfam family: Bacterial small subunit ribosomal RNA
Source: RNAcentral
UGCGUAGGCGGACUAAUAAGUCAGUGGUGAAACCUUUCGGCUCAACCGAGAAACUGCCAUUGAUACUGUUAGUCUUGAGUUCGGUUGAGGUAGGCGGAAUGUGUAAUGUAGCGGUGAAAUGCUUAGAUAUUACACAGAACACCAAUUGCGUAGGCAGCUUACUAGACCGACACUGACGCUGAGGCACGAAAGCGUGGGGAGCGAACAGGAUUAGAUACCCUGGUAGUCC